Long non-coding RNA from Amphimedon queenslandica, 522 nucleotides. RefSeq lists it as uncharacterized. The transcript is spliced from 5 exons. Lineage: Eukaryota; Metazoa; Porifera; Demospongiae; Haplosclerida; Niphatidae. The record is from RefSeq and is a predicted model, not a curated record.
CCAAAUAAAAUGGCAGCCAAAGCACCAGACUAUCAACCAGUGAAGAGGAGGGGACACUCCACUGUAUGGGCAGGAGGCUAGUACACAAGGCAAAUAUUCUCGACCGUGGCACACUGAUAGACUCCAAUUUAGAGUUAAGUAUGUUGGAUCAGAGAAUGUUAUCAGGAGACGUGGUGAUGCUGGAGCUGCCGCUAGAUACUGCCUACCUACUUUGAGGACAGCUAGUAAGAAUAUGAGAGCUGACAAGCUGAAAACAGUUUUAGGUCUAAACAUGAAAGGAGUAUCACUUUAUGACGAGACAUAAAAGUCUGUAACUCGGGUCCCAGUGGAUAAGGUUACUUAUGUUACUCAUGAUCCAGAGGAUCAGUGCUACUUUGGAGUUAUCAUACAAACUAAGGAGUCUCACACUGGAUUUAGACUCUACCUCUUCAAAGCUGAGAGACCUAUAGUACCUUAUCAUGUCAUUAUGAUCAUAAAUACAGUGCAUGUACAGUUUCUGCAUGUAAAACUUGAUACCUUAUG